Anguilla rostrata (American eel) is the source of this 858-nucleotide long non-coding RNA. RefSeq lists it as uncharacterized. The transcript has 3 exons. Lineage: Eukaryota; Metazoa; Chordata; Actinopteri; Anguilliformes; Anguillidae. The record is from RefSeq and is a predicted model, not a curated record.
CGCAGAUCUCAGCUAUUAUGCACACUAAAAUCAGAGUUGAACCCGAUUAAGGCAAUACUCCAACUAGGGAAGUUCUUAUGUAAACAGCUUUUUGAUUAUCUUAAUUGUGGAAAGAAAAGCUCAUGCAGGAAUGCACUGGCUGAAUUAUUGCAGGGUACUAGUCAAUAGAUUUUUCUUCUCUUGUGGACAAAAAACGCACUCGCAACAGGGUAGCCUGUUGUAUGCGCACCUGCCAUUAAUCACCACUUAAGCGCAGAAAAACAGCUCUCGGCUCCCUUCAAAUGCGCACUAAUAACCCGAGCUGAACCCGAUUAAGGCAAUACUGCAACGAGGGAAAAUUCUUCUGUGUACCACUUUUAUUAUAUUCAUUAUGGGGAGUCCAAACAUGCUUGUGUUGAAAUCGUUAUGUCACUAUUGUAUAGCAAAACGCCGAUCAAAGCAGCACAGGAAAGAACAUGUCCAUGCAUUACCAUAAUAUGUAGAUUGUUUACAUAUCUUUGAUUAUGAAUUCGUUGUAUUGCACUUCCUAUUUCUCCAGGUUAGCGAAUCAAUAGGUGUCACCGUAAUCUUAAUUUGAUUUUGUAUUUGUAUUAUUUAUUUAUUUAUUAUGCAUGUUUAAACUGAGCCCAACUUUGUUUGCAGGACGCUGUAGUUUACGGGGGUGUGCAUCAGUGGAAUUGGUGCAGGGAGCUACAGGUGAAGGGUUUGCUUCUCUCUGCUGGACAAAAAAUGGCAUUACAGCAGAGCAAGUCGGGUUUAAAAAGUUCUGCACUCCUUCGUUAUGAUCAAAAAUAUUUUUUGUAUGAAGAUUUUUAAUGCUGCGCACAAUUCAGAAUAAUAAAUAUCUACUGAAAUUAA